AUUGAACGCUGGCGGCAGGCCUAACACAUGCAAGUCGAGCGGAUGAAGGGAGCUUGCUCCUGGAUUCAGCGGCGGACGGGUGAGUAAUGCCUAGGAAUCUGCCUGGUAGUGGGGGAUAACGUCCGGAAACGGGCGCUAAUACCGCAUACGUCCUGAGGGAGAAAGUGGGGGAUCUUCGGACCUCACGCUAUCAGAUGAGCCUAGGUCGGAUUAGCUAGUUGGUGGGGUAAAGGCCUACCAAGGCGACGAUCCGUAACUGGUCUGAGAGGAUGAUCAGUCACGCUGGAACUGAGACACGGCCCAGACUCCUACGGGAGGCAGCAGUGGGGAAUAUUGGACAAUGGGCGAAAGCCUGAUCCAGCCAUGCCGCGUGUGUGAAGAAGGUCUUCGGAUUGUAAAGCACUUUAAGUUGGGAGGAAGGGCAGUAAGUUAAUACCUUGCUGUUUUGACGUUACCAACAGAAUAAGCACCGGCUAACUUCGUG
RNAcentral lists this ribosomal RNA (484 nucleotides) under uncultured bacterium. RNAcentral's name for it is "partial 16S ribosomal RNA". It matches the Rfam family "Bacterial small subunit ribosomal RNA", at positions 30 to 507 of the family's 1533-position model. The record is from RNAcentral.